Molecule: ribosomal RNA, 481 nt
Filed under: uncultured bacterium
Lineage: Bacteria
Description: partial 16S ribosomal RNA
Rfam family: Bacterial small subunit ribosomal RNA
Source: RNAcentral
ACGAACGCUGGCGGCGUGCUUAACCCAUGCACGUCGAACGCUGAAGCUCAGCUUGCUGGGUGGAUGAGUGGCGAACGGGUGAGUAGCACGUGAGUAACCUGCCCUCUUCUUUGGGAUAACGCCCGGAAACGGGUGCUAAUACUGGAUAUUCACUGAUUCUCGCAUGGGGGUUGGUGGAUAGGUUUUUUCUGGUGGGGGAUGGGCUCGCGGCCUAUCAGCUUGUUGGUGGGGUGAUGGCCUACCAAGGCUUUGACGGGUAGCCGGCCUGAGAGGGUGACCGGUCACAUUGGGACUGAGAUACGGCCCAGACUCCUACGGGAGGCAGCAGUGGGGAAUAUUGCACAAUGGGCGAAAGCCUGAUGCAGCGACGCCGCGUGAGGGAUGGAGGCCUUCGGGUUGUAAACCUCUUUCGCUCAUGGUCAAGCCGCAGCUUUGGGUUGUGGUGAGGGUAGUGGGUAAAGAAGCGCCGGCUAACUACGUG